AUAUUUACCUGGCAGGAGCCAUUCCAUUAUCAUGAAAGUGGUUUCCCAGGGUGAGGUUCAUCCAUUGCACUCCAGAUGAGUUAACCUCUGCGAUUUCCCCAAAUGCGGGAAACUCGACUGCAUAAUUUGUGGUAGUGGGCGACUGCGUUCGCGCUCUCUCCUG
This is a small nuclear RNA of Antechinus flavipes (yellow-footed antechinus), 163 nucleotides long. RefSeq annotates it as U1 spliceosomal RNA. The transcript has a single exon. NCBI's taxonomy places the organism in Eukaryota, Metazoa, Chordata, Mammalia, Dasyuromorphia, Dasyuridae. The record is from RefSeq and is a predicted model, not a curated record.